Molecule: ribosomal RNA, 460 nt
Filed under: uncultured bacterium
Lineage: Bacteria
Description: SSU rRNA
Rfam family: Bacterial small subunit ribosomal RNA
Source: RNAcentral
AGAAUCAACGCUGGCGGCGUGCCUAACACAUGCAAGUCGAUCGAGAAAGUGGAGCAAUCCAUGAGUAAAGAGGCGCACGGGUGAGUAACACGUGACUAACCUACCUUCGAGUGGGGAAUAACCUGGGGAAACCCGGGCUAAUACCGCAUAAUACCUACGGGUCAAAGGAGCAAUUCGCUUGAAGAGGGGGUCGCGGCAGAUUAGUUAGUUGGCGGGGUAAUGGCCCACCAAGACGAUGAUCUGUAUCCGGCCUGAGAGGGCGCACGGACACACUGGAACUGAAACACGGUCCAGACUCCUACGGGAGGCAGCAGUGGGGAAUUUUGCGCAAUGGGGGAAACCCUGACGCAGCAACGCCGCGUGGAGGAUGAAGUCCCUUGGGACGUAAACUCCUUUCGACCGGGACGAUUAUGACGGUACCGGAUGAAGAAGCCCCGGCUAACUUCGUGCCAGCAGCCGC